GGAAGUAAAAGCCGUAACAAGGUUUCCGUAGGUGAACCUGCGGAAGGAUCAUUACAGUAGUCACCCAGGUUGCCGCAAGGCCUCCUGGGUAACCUACCACCCUUUGUUUAUUACACUUUGUUGCUUUGGCAAGCCUGCCCUCGGGCUGCUGGCUCCGGCCGGCGAGCGCUUGCCAGAGGACCUAAACUCUGUUUGUCUAUACUGUCUGAGUACUAUAUAAUAGUUAAAACUUUCAACAACGGAUCUCUUGGUUCUG
Molecule: unclassified non-coding RNA, 256 nt
Filed under: plant metagenome
Description: partial contains small subunit ribosomal RNA, internal transcribed spacer 1, and 5.8S ribosomal RNA
Rfam family: Eukaryotic small subunit ribosomal RNA (bases 1-54)
Source: RNAcentral